Molecule: long non-coding RNA, 5027 nt
Filed under: Sus scrofa (pig)
Lineage: Eukaryota; Metazoa; Chordata; Mammalia; Artiodactyla; Suidae
Description: lncRNA (ENSSSCG00000059570.1)
Source: RNAcentral
UGCUACCCAGCAGGAUCCCAUUGCUAAUCCAUCCCGAAGGCACCAGUCUGCACCUAUUAACCCCAAGCUCCCAGUCCCUCCCCCUCCCUCCCCUUCCCCCUUGGCAACUACAAGUCUAUUCUUCAAGUGCCUCAUUUUCUUUUCUGUGGAAAGGAUCCUUUGUGCCUUAUAUUAGAUUCAAGACAUAAGUGAUCUCAUCUGGUAUUUGUCUUUCUCUUUCUGACUUACUUCACUCAGGAUGAGAGUCUCUAGUGCCAACCAUGUUGCUGCAAAUGGCCUUGUUUUGUUCUUUUUUAAGACCGAGUAGUAUUCCAUUGUGUAUAUACACCACCUCUUCUUAAUCCAUUCAUCUGUUGAUGGAUGUUUUGAUGGCUAAAUAAUAUUCCACUAUGCAUGCAUACAUACACACACAUGUAUGUGUGUGUAUAAUCAUAUAUUUACUUUAUCCACUCAUCUGUCAGUGAACACAUAGGUGAUUUUCAUGUCUUGGCUUGUGCUAAUAAUGCUGCAUUUAAAAUGGGGGUGUAAAUAUAUAUCUUUGAAAUAAUGAUAAAUUUCCUUUGGACAUGAAUAUAUACCCAGAGGGGAACUGCUGAAUCAUAUCAUGGUUCUAUUUUUAGCUUUUUGAGGAAUGGCCAUCCUGUUUUCCAUGUGGCUGUACCAAUUUCUGGUCUAACCAACUGUGCAUGAAUGUUCUCCUUUUGUUCCAAAUCUUCACCAACAGUAGUUAUCUAUCUCCUUUUUACUUUUAUAACAGCCACUCUAACAGAUGUGAGGUGAUAUCUCAUUGUGGUUUCUGUUUUCACAUUUUUCUAAAUUUCUGAAGUGUAGCAUCCUAUGGAAAGUAUGCACAUUAGAGUAUGAUUCCAUGAAUUUUCACAUGUGGAACACAGCUGUAUAACCACCACCUACAUGAAGAACUAGAACCUUACCAGCCCCCAGAGACAUCCGCUGCCCGGUGGGCCCCUUUGUAGUUAUCACUCUCUCUAAAAGUAACCUUAUUCUGGGGGAGUCAGCCGUCUUGUGAACAGUUAACGGCCAGCUGCUUUCUCCAGGGUCUGAAGGUGAGCCUGUGAGCUGAGUGGAUGUUGGGUAGUGGAGCCCAGUAUGGGAAGCUCAAAGAAGUUGGUGUGGAAGCUACAAGACCCCAUGAGGACUGGAUAAUCAAGCAUUGUUUUGGGGUCCCACAGGCUUCUUGGGAGUACUACACACUUUGAUGCCUGUUGGAGAUGAGAACCAAGAGGCUCCUAGAGGAACUGCAGAAACCGUGGCCGUGGAAGGAGGUAAAUGGCACUUGGAGAUGCAGAAAAACAAGGUUUAUUCGGCACCAGUGCCGGCUCAGAGGAGUCACCCCCAGAGUCUGAGCACCGGGUCUUUGUUCUCAGCACCUUUUAUACAAUAUCGGGUCUUGUUUCUCCCAUGCAAGCAAUCCUGAACCUCCUCCUUCCUGGAGCAGACUGACAAUGUUCCUGCCGAAGAAACGGAGCAAGCAAGGUUAUAGAAGCGAAACUGAGAAGCAAUGCUUGGAGCACCAUUAGCAGGGCUGCUGGCUUGAACAUAGGGCACGUAGUUGCUACAUAAUUAUGAGGAGGAUGGACUGAGGCUGAGCAGAACUGAAAAGGCAUGGAAAUGCUUUUUCAGGCAAGGCGGGGGUUAAGUCUCUUAGUUAAAUCUCCCAGUUCACUUCCUUGUGGGGUUCUCCCAUAAGCUUUCCUUACAUACUCUUUACAAUGCCUUUAGCCUGCUGUGAAGCAGCCUUGGUAUCUUUGCCACUUAGAGAUGUUUUCCACUUGUUUGUAUGUAGUUAGCUUAAAGUACGGAACGAAAUUUAUUUUUCUCUCCCUCCCCCUUCUUCCUAGCAUUUCCCCCUUUUCCUUUUUCUUUUCCUUUCUCCCAUUUUAGUGUCUUCUCCUUUCUCUUGAGUUAUACAUGAUAUUUCAAAAGCUAGCCUAUCUAGCAAGAUCCUUUUUCUCUGGUUAAAAGAGCAACAACAGUGUGCUUGUUUGUGUGUGUACAAGCACACACACUUGUGUCUUUUCCACACGUUUGUCUCAUUUACUCCCAAGGUGUAAACUUGGAGACAAGGAAAAGCCAGGAAGCCCUCUGUUAAUUAGUGUAUUGGUCUGUAUGAACAAACUCUUCACUAAAUGUCAAAAAUAAAGGUGUCAGGCUGCUCUCUAGGGAAAGGAUUUCCACGGAGUGCUAGGUCAUAACUGAGCUGAUGGCCUUUCAUCAGUAAGUUGUGCCCAAGGCUCUACUUCCUUCCAGUCCUUUACAAGCCGUUCAUGGAAACCAACUUAGGAGAGAACACGAUGAAACUAACCAGCCAACAAAAUUUGUUCUUGAACGACCUAGGGCUCAAUCAGGGGACACGUGGCCAAGCUGGCUGGGUGAGUCUCUCCAGUUUGGGGAGCCCACAGGGGGUGUGGGGUGGGGCUUCCAUGGAGCAGGCACAUGGGAGUCGUGGCUGCACCAGUGGGGCAACUAGGCAUGCUCAGAAGCCCUGCAGGUGGGGUCUCUCCAGGUAGCCAGGGUUUUAUAGCAGUGCGGAAGCCCAGAGGAGGAGUGGCCCCCGUUGGCCAUGACCACCACCUGCAGGCAGAGGAAGAGUUCUGAGGAGGGUAGCAGUCUCCAUCCUUUGGGGCAACAGCGUGUCUGCUUUGGAGAAAGGGUAUCCAAGGGGCAAGGACAGUAAUUCCGGAAAGAUGGGCCAGCAUUUGGCCAACACAAUCUGUUCUUCGGAGACCUGGGGUGCAAUCAGGGGACACGCUUGGCCAGGCUGGCCGGAAACCCAGCAGGUGGCUCUCUGGAGGCAUCGCGGGCAUUACCGCUGCCAGGGAAGAGGAGUGGCCAGUGGCAGCCAAGACCACCACCAGCAGGCAGAGGAAGAGUUCUGAGGAGGGAAGGGCUCUCCACCCCUUGGAAGGAGAAGGGAAGGAGAAGGGAAGGAGGAGGAGGAAAAGUGAAGGGGGUGGCACCAGUUCUUCUGGAGAAACUGGCGAUGAAUAGAAGUCAGAUACGCACUUCCUGAACGCCAGGGGGAGGCGACCCACGGAAAGUGGACUGGGAGACCCCCGCCCCCCACCCCACGCACUGGGGAGGCGUGGCUAUCAGGCUUGAGAGAGGACCCGGGGCAUAGUGGCCAGGGCCACAACCUUGGCCUGGGAAAGUUCUCAGAUGUGGUGUUAAAUCAGACUGUAUCCACCAGCCUGCACCGCAGACACAGCAACUUGGGAUCCCACCCAUGUCUGGGACCUAUACCCCCGCUUGUGGCAACACUGGAUCCUUCACCCACUGAGCCAGGCCUGGGAUCCAACCUGCAUCCUCUCAGACACGAUGUCAGGUUCUUACCCCACUGAGUCACCACAGGCACUUCUCACUCACCUCAUCAUGAUGGCUGCCUCUGUCAGUUGCUUGUGUGAUUCCCUCCAAUUGUAAAAGUGUUGUGCGCUGCCUCCCUUCCACUGUGAAAACAACCAGCCUGUGCUUGAUGCCUGAUGAGAGGACGCCAUCUCUAAAGAAAGGUACUGACUGUGGGGCUCAGACUUCAGUAAGGAAAGGAGACAAAGUGCAUGGAGUUUAUCAAGUUUAAUUUUUCAAAUGUAACCAUUGUCAUAUUAGCAUGUAAAUCUUAAAUGAUAAAGUUUAUUUCUAAGCAUACGAUUUAUUUCAAAAGAGGUUUUUUUUUUAAUGAUACAAACAUGGGCAAAAUGUUGCUUUCACCAAUUUACAACUAUGGGGAAUUUAAUUCUAGGAAAAUAAUAUUACUAUUUCCAACUAAAAGUCUGUAUUGAUGAACUGCAUAUACUUUCAAAGUUACAAUGCAAUAGUUAUACAGAACAUAAUAUAUACUUGUCAGAUUGUUGCGUAAGAGUUAGCAAAACUGUUUUGAGAAAUGUGGCUUAAGGAAGCUUCAAACUGAGUUUGAAGAUUAGUCUCUUCAGUACAAUAUUUCUUUCGCCACAGACGUGAAAGAACCCAAGCAUUCUGUGAAUAUAGAGAAAGUCCCACAUUUCUUGGUGUGUUCUGGACCUGAAAUACAUUUAGAUGGUAGAAGGUAACUGGGAAGGAACUCACUUCAGUGCUCAGCAGGUAAAGUCUGAAGAGCCUCCCUGCAACCACCGGCCUCGGCGUAGUUCAGUGGAGGAUCCCUCAGAGGGGAUGGAUGCGACCUGGCAGCUUGGGAGGCCUGAGUGGCGGGGAUGGAGAGGUCGGCUCUAAUACCCAGGCCCACUGCUGGGGAAGGGGCCAUCAGGGCUUGGCGCUUGGUGCUCCUGGUUGGGAAAGGCCCCUUGUAGUGUGGGGGUUCUCAGGACCUCUUCCAGGGCCUGGAGCUCCUUGAACAUCUCCACCAUCUCCUGUUCUUGUUUGGUCUGCUUGACUCUCUCGUUCUCCAGGUCUUGGGCCAGAGAAUCGAGUUCCUCCAUCAAAAUCAGGUUGAUCCUCAGCAUCUCUCUGUGGGUGUUAGUGAGGCCAGGUACAUUGAAUGACUCUGUCUCUAGCCUGGCAUUCUCUAACGAUGCCUCCACCUCGGCAUGCUCCUUUUGAGCAGCAUGAAUCUUGUCAAUGAGUUGGCAUUUCUCCUCAAUCUGUGCAGCCAGUGUUUUUGCCAGCUGCUGUUCACGUCGCAGGUAAAGUCGACUUCGAACAGACUGAAGCAGUCGCAAUGUAAAGAAGAGACCUACCACGAAGGGGAUGAUAACAGACCUGCACGCCACUGUCUCCCACUGGAGGUUCUGGAUGGUGAACCAGGAACCAAAGCCGCUGGGCAGCAGCAACACCAGCCCCUCCCUCAGCUUCCCAAGGAUCAGCCCGAAGCCAAGCUCCACAGAGGACGGCAGCCCCUCCAUGGCACGGAUCCAGCAAGGGGCUCUGCUCAGUUACCAUGGAUCCACCAGGCACAACGAACCCCAACAUUCCACCUGGAACCCCGCCAGCAACUGUCAUCCUGGAUUGGUCAGUUAUCUGCUCAGUGUUGGGGGAGGGUGGCAGGGGAGAGAUAGUAAGUAAAAUGUGAUUCUCCCCCU